RNAcentral lists this ribosomal RNA (987 nucleotides) under Streptomyces sp. Its description in RNAcentral is "bacterial SSU rRNA". It matches the Rfam family "Bacterial small subunit ribosomal RNA", at positions 346 to 1306 of the family's 1533-position model. The record is from RNAcentral. Lineage: Bacteria; Bacillati; Actinomycetota; Actinomycetes; Kitasatosporales; Streptomycetaceae.
AGGCAGCAGUGGGGAAUAUUGCACCAAUGGGCGGAAAGCCUGAUGCAAGCGACGCCGCGUGAAGGGAUGACGGCCCUUCGGGGUUGUAAACCUCUUUUCAACCAGGGAAGAAGCGAGAGUGACGGUACCUGCAGAAGAAGCGCCGGCUAACUACGUGCCAGCAGCCGCGGUAAUACGUAGGGCGCGAGCGUUGUCCGGAAUUAUUGGGCGUAAAGAGCUCGUAGGCGGCUUGUCACGUCGGAUGUGAAAGCCCGGGGCUUAACCCCCGGGUCUGCAUUCGAUACGGGCAGGCUAGAGUUCGGUAGGGGAGAUCGGAAUUCCUGGUGUAGCGGUGAAAUGCGCAGAUAUCAGGAGGAACACCGGUGGCGAAGGCGGAUCUCUGGGCCGAUACUGACGCUGAGGAGCGAAAGCGUGGGGAGCGAACAGGAUUAGAUACCCUGGUAGUCCACGCCGUAAACGUUGGGAACUAGGUGUGGGCGACAUUCCACGUCGUCCGUGCCGCAGCUAACGCAUUAAGUUCCCCGCCUGGGGGAGUACGGCCGCAAGGCUAAAACUCAAAGGAAUUGACGGGGGGCCCGCACAAGCAGCGGAGCAUGUGGCUUAAUUCGACGCAACGCGAAGAACCUUACCAAGGCUUGACAUACACCGGAAAAACCGUGGAGACACGGUCCCCCUUGUGGUCGGUGUACAGGUGGGUGCAUGGCUGUCGUCAGCUCGUGUCGUGAGAUGUUUGGGUUAAGUCCCGCAACGAGCGCAACCCUUUGUUCUGUGUUGCCAGCAUGCCUUUUCGGGGGUGAUGGGGACUCACAAGGAGACUGCCGGGGUCAACUCCGGAAGGAAGGUGGGGGACCAACGUCAAGUUCUCAUGGCCCCUUUAUGUCUUGGGCUUGCCAACCUGGCUACAAUGGGCCGGUACAUUGAGCUGCGAUACCGCGGAAGGUGGAGCGAAUCUCAAAAAGCCCGGUCUCAGUUUUCGGAUUUGGGGUC